This is a long non-coding RNA of Bombyx mandarina (wild silkworm), 787 nucleotides long. Lineage: Eukaryota; Metazoa; Arthropoda; Insecta; Lepidoptera; Bombycidae. The record is from RefSeq and is a predicted model, not a curated record.
UCGAAGUGGUUAUUGGGAACGUUUACAACAUAAUAGAGAGCAUUAGUCCGAUCCACUUUUGACAUCAUUAUCUGUGUAGUCGAGUGACGAUAACCUGCUAGCGGUGUGUUGGUCGCUCCCGCCCCGCCUCGAGCCAGCGGCAGUCGCGCGCGUCCUCGUCUGCCGUGUGGUCGUGUGCUCAGUGCGCUGCGCAUGCCUCUCCAUCUGCCUACAAGGGUACACUUGGAGAACUCGCUUUUGGCGGGUUUUCGCACGGACGUGAGCGGCGAAUGUGAUGCGCUUUACGAUCGGACACGGAAUGUGUGCGUGCUGCCUAUUGUAUGUGUUUGCGCGUCACAGUGAAAUCCGCGGCGAGGACUGUCAGUGAUCACUUGGAUUGCAGUGUUGGAUCUUAGGAUAUAAACGGAGGCGGCCUGCUCUACGAUUUUAAUAAAUUUUUUCUGUAUCGCUCGUUGAAUAUUUGAAAAAAAAAACACUAAAAUGUUCGUACGCGGCGUUGAUUAACAGCGAAUUUUUAAUUGUGUGUACUUAAGAAACGUCAUUGUGUUGUGUAUGUAUAGUGUGUAAAUACUUCAUAAGUGUGUGUAUGCAAAACGUGAAAUAUUUAGAAUAAUAAGUAUUAAACAAGAUACCAGUGGUAUGCAUAUGUUGUGUUAUGAAAGGCCUGGUGUUGUUACCGCCCUGAACGGAUCUGUUGGGUACGACAAGUGGGACCGGGACAGGGGCGGGGGCGGAGGCGCGGGCGGCGCGACCGGCGGCUCGUGGGCGGGCCGCGACCGCGAGCGCG